RNAcentral lists this ribosomal RNA (253 nucleotides) under uncultured bacterium. Its description in RNAcentral is "partial 16S ribosomal RNA". It matches the Rfam family "Bacterial small subunit ribosomal RNA", at positions 524 to 776 of the family's 1533-position model. The record is from RNAcentral.
UACGAAGGGGGCUAGCGUUGCUCGGAAUCACUGGGCGUAAAGCGCGCGUAGGCGGACUCUUAAGUCAGGGGUGAAAUCCUGGAGCUCAACUCCAGAACUGCCUUUGAUACUGGGAGUCUUGAGUUCGGGAGAGGUGAGUGGAACUGCGAGUGUAGAGGUGAAAUUCGUAGAUAUUCGCAAGAACACCAGUGGCGAAGGCGGCUCACUGGCCCGGUACUGACGCUGAGGCACGAAAGCGUGGGGAGCAAACAGG